GGGCCGGUAGCUCAGGUGGUUAGAGCGCACGCCUGAUAAGCGUGAGGUCGGAGGUUCAACUCCUCCUCGGCCCACCA
Molecule: transfer RNA, 77 nt
Filed under: Sphingopyxis terrae
Lineage: Bacteria; Pseudomonadati; Pseudomonadota; Alphaproteobacteria; Sphingomonadales; Sphingopyxidaceae
Also listed under: 41 other names
Description: tRNA-Ile
Rfam family: tRNA
About the family: Transfer RNA (tRNA) molecules are approximately 80 nucleotides in length.
Source: RNAcentral